Molecule: ribosomal RNA, 164 nt
Filed under: Eugenia astringens
Lineage: Eukaryota; Viridiplantae; Streptophyta; Magnoliopsida; Myrtales; Myrtaceae
Description: 5.8S ribosomal RNA
Rfam family: 5.8S ribosomal RNA
About the family: 5.8S ribosomal RNA (5.8S rRNA) is a component of the large subunit of the eukaryotic ribosome.
Source: RNAcentral
CGACUCUCGGCAACGGAUAUCUCGGCUCUCGCAUCGAUGAAGAACGUAGCGAACUGCGAUACUUGGUGUGAAUUGCAGAAUCCCGUGAACCAUCGAGUCUUUGAACGCAAGUUGCGCCCAAAUCCAUUCAUUUGGAAGAGGGCACGUUUGCCUGGGUGUCACAC